GAGUUUGAUCGUGGCUCAGAGCGAACGCUGGCGGCAGGCCUAACACAUGCAAGUCGAGCGGAUGUAGCAAUACAUCAGCGGCAGACGGGAUAGUAACACGUGGGAACGUGCCCUUUGGUUCGGAAUAACUCGGCGAAAGCCGUGCUAAUACCGGAUAAGCCCUUACGGGGAAAGAUUUAUCGCCAUUGGAGCGGCCCGCGUCUGAUUAGCUAGUUGGUGAGGUAAUGGCUCACCAAGGCGACGAUCAGUAGCUGGUCUGAGAGGAUGAUCAGCAUCACUGGGACUGAGACACGGCCCAGACUCCUACGGGAGGCAGCAGUGGGGAAUAUUGGACAAUGGGCGCAAGCCUGAUCCAGCCAUGCCGCGUGGAUGAUGAAGGCCUUAGGGUUGUAAAGUCCUUUUUAACGGGGAAGAUAAUGACGGUACCCGUAGAAUAAGCCCCGGCUAACUUCGUGCCAGCAGCCGCUGU
Molecule: ribosomal RNA, 469 nt
Filed under: uncultured Alphaproteobacteria bacterium
Lineage: Bacteria; Pseudomonadati; Pseudomonadota; Alphaproteobacteria
Description: bacterial SSU rRNA
Rfam family: Bacterial small subunit ribosomal RNA
Source: RNAcentral